CAUGGCUCAGGAUGAACGCUAGCGGCAGGCUUAAUACAUGCAAGUCGUGGGGCAGCAUGAGUAGCAAUACUUGAUGGUGACCGGCAAACGGGUGAGGAACACGUACACAACCUUCCUUCAAGCGGGGAAUAGCCCAGAGAAAUUUGGAUUAAUACCCCAUAAUAUAUUUGAUAAGGCAUCUUAUUAAUAUUAAAGCUUCGGCACUUGAUGAUGGGUGUGCGGCUGAUUAGAUAGUUGGCGGGGUAACGGCCCACCAAGUCUACGAUCAGUAGCUGAUGUGAGAGCAUGAUCAGCCACACGGGCACUGAGACACGGGCCCGACUCCUACGGGAGGCAGCAGUAAGGAAUAUUGGACAAUGGACGAAAGUCUGAUCCAGCCAUGCCGCGUGAAGGAUUAAGGUCCUCUGGAUUGUAAACUUCUUUUAUAUGGGACGAAAAAGGGCAUUCUUGUUCACUUGACGGUACCAUAUGAAUAAACACCGGCUAACUCCGUG
RNAcentral lists this ribosomal RNA (494 nucleotides) under uncultured bacterium. RNAcentral's name for it is "bacterial SSU rRNA". It matches the Rfam family "Bacterial small subunit ribosomal RNA", at positions 18 to 507 of the family's 1533-position model. The record is from RNAcentral.